RNAcentral lists this ribosomal RNA (1372 nucleotides) under uncultured bacterium. Its description in RNAcentral is "bacterial SSU rRNA". It matches the Rfam family "Bacterial small subunit ribosomal RNA", at positions 28 to 1381 of the family's 1533-position model. The record is from RNAcentral.
GAUGAACGCUGGCGGCGUGCCUAAUACAUGCAAGUCGAGCGAACAGACGAGGAGCUUGCUUCUCUGACGUUAGCGGCGGACGGGUGAGUAACACGUGGAUAACCUACCUAUAAGACUGGGAUAACUUCGGGAAACCGGAGCUAAUACCGGAUAAUAUGUUGAACCGCAUGGUUCAAUAGUGAAAGACGGUUUUGCUGUCACUUAUAGAUGGAUCCGCGCCGCAUUAGCUAGUUGGUAAGGUAACGGCUUACCAAGGCAACGAUGCGUAUCCGACCUGAGAGGGUGAUCGGCCACACUGGAACUGAGACACGGUCCAGACUCCUACGGGAGGCAGCAGUAGGGAAUCUUCCGCAAUGGGCGAAAGCCUGACGGAGCAACGCCGCGUGAGUGAUGAAGGUCUUCGGAUCGUAAAACUCUGUUAUUAGGGAAGAACAAAUGUGUAAGUAACUAUGCACGUCUUGACGGUACCUAAUCAGAAAGCCACGGCUAACUACGUGCCAGCAGCCGCGGUAAUACGUAGGUGGCAAGCGUUAUCCGGAAUUAUUGGGCGUAAAGCGCGCGUAGGCGGUUUUUUAAGUCUGAUGUGAAAGCCCACGGCUCAACCGUGGAGGGUCAUUGGAAACUGGAAAACUUGAGUGCAGAAGAGGAAAGUGGAAUUCCAUGUGUAGCGGUGAAAUGCGCAGAGAUAUGGAGGAACACCAGUGGCGAAGGCGACUUUCUGGUCUGUAACUGACGCUGAUGUGCGAAAGCGUGGGGAUCAAACAGGAUUAGAUACCCUGGUAGUCCACGCCGUAAACGAUGAGUGCUAAGUGUUAGGGGGUUUCCGCCCCUUAGUGCUGCAGCUAACGCAUUAAGCACUCCGCCUGGGGAGUACGACCGCAAGGUUGAAACUCAAAGGAAUUGACGGGGACCCGCACAAGCGGUGGAGCAUGUGGUUUAAUUCGAAGCAACGCGAAGAACCUUACCAAAUCUUGACAUCCUCUGACCCCUCUAGAGAUAGAGUUUUCCCCUUCGGGGGACAGAGUGACAGGUGGUGCAUGGUUGUCGUCAGCUCGUGUCGUGAGAUGUUGGGUUAAGUCCCGCAACGAGCGCAACCCUUAAGCUUAGUUGCCAUCAUUAAGUUGGGCACUCUAAGUUGACUGCCGGUGACAAACCGGAGGAAGGUGGGGAUGACGUCAAAUCAUCAUGCCCCUUAUGAUUUGGGCUACACACGUGCUACAAUGGACAAUACAAAGGGCAGCGAAAUCGCGAGGUCAAGCAAAUCCCAUAAAGUUGUUCUCAGUUCGGAUUGUAGUCUGCAACUCGACUAUAUGAAGCUGGAAUCGCUAGUAAUCGUAGAUCAGCAUGCUACGGUGAAUACGUUCCCGGGUCU